RNAcentral lists this ribosomal RNA (468 nucleotides) under uncultured bacterium. Its description in RNAcentral is "partial 16S ribosomal RNA". It matches the Rfam family "Bacterial small subunit ribosomal RNA", at positions 28 to 507 of the family's 1533-position model. The record is from RNAcentral.
GACGAACGCUGGCGGCGUGCUUAACACAUGCAAGUCGAACGGAAAGGCCCUGCUUUUGUGGGGUGCUCGAGUGGCGAACGGGUGAGUAACACGUGAGUAACCUGCCCUUGACUUUGGGAUAACUUCAGGAAACUGGGGCUAAUACCGGAUAGGAGCUCCUGCUGCAUGGUGGGGGUUGGAAAGUUUCGGCGGUCGGGGAUGGACUCGCGGCUUAUCAGCUUGGUGGUGGGGUAGUGGCUUACCAAGGCUUUGACGGGUAGUCGGCCUGAGAGGGUGACCGGCCACAUUGGGACUGAGAUACGGCCCAGACUCCUACGGGAGGCAGCAGUGGGGAAUAUUGCACAAUGGGCGGAAGCCUGAUGCAGCAACGCCGCGUGCGGGAUGACGGCCUUCGGGUUGUAACCCGCUUUCGCCUGUGACGAAGCGUGAGUGACGGUAAUGGGUAAAGAAGCACCGGCUAACUACGUG